This 356-nucleotide ribosomal RNA is filed under the name uncultured bacterium. RNAcentral describes it as "partial 16S ribosomal RNA". It matches the Rfam family "Bacterial small subunit ribosomal RNA", at positions 338 to 691 of the family's 1533-position model. The record is from RNAcentral.
GCUACGGGUGGCAGCAGUGAGGAAUAUUGGUCAAUGGACGCAAGUCUGAACCAGCCAUGCCGCGUGCAGGAAGACGGCUCUAUGAGUUGUAAACUGCUUUUGUACGAGGGUAAACGCAGAUACGCGUAGCUGUCUGAAAGUAUCGUACGAAUAAGGAUCGGCUAACUCCGUGCCAGCAGCCGCGGUAAUACGGAGGAUUCAAGCGUUCUCCGGAUUUAUUGGGUUUAAAGGGUGCGUAGGCGGUCGGCUAAGGUAGAGGUGAACUCCCGUCGCUCAACGGCGGAAGUGCCUCUGUUACUGUUCGCCUAGCGUGUAGUUGCGGUAGGCGGAAUGUAUGGUGUAGCGGUGAAAUGCUU